AAACUUUACAAUGCACGAAAGUGUGAUAAGGGAACCCCAAGUGCUUGCUCUUAGAGUGAGCUUUUGCCAUGUGUAAAUAGCAUGGAGAAUAAGGAGUGGGCAAGACCGGUGCCAGCCGCCGCGGUAACACCGGCGCUCCGAGUGGCAAUCACAAUUAUUGGGCCUAAAGCAUCCGUAGCCGAUUAAGUAAAUCUUUUGUGAAAUCGUUAAGCUCAACUUAACGGCGAGCAAAAGACACUGCUAAGUUAGGGACCGGGAGGAGACAGGAGUAUUCCUUGGGUAACGGUAAAAUGUUAUAAUCCUUGGAGGACUACCAGUGGCGAAGGCGCCUGUCUAGAACGGGUUCGACGGUCAGGGAUGAAAGCUAGGGGAGUGAAUCGG
This 381-nucleotide ribosomal RNA is filed under the name uncultured archaeon. RNAcentral's name for it is "bacterial SSU rRNA". It matches the Rfam family "Archaeal small subunit ribosomal RNA", at positions 345 to 727 of the family's 1478-position model. The record is from RNAcentral.